UGGGGAAUAUUGGACAAUGGGGGCAGCCCUGAUCCAGCCAUGCCGCGUGCGUGAAGAAGGCCUUAGGGUUGUAAAGCGCUUUCACUGGUGAAGAUGAUGACGGUAGCCAGAGAAGAAGCCCCGGCUAACUCCGUGCCAGCAGCCGCGGUAAUACGGAGGGGGCAAGCGUUGUUCGGAAUUACUGGGCGUAAAGGGCGCGUAGGCGGACGAUCAAGUUAGGGGUGAAAGGCCCGGGCUCAACCUGGGAACUGCCUUUGAUACUGGUAGUCUUGAGUUCGAGAGAGGUGAGUGGAAUUCCGAGUGUAGAGGUGAAAUUCGUAGAUAUUCGGAGGAACACCAGUGGCGAAGGCGGCUCACUGGCUCGAUACUGACGCUGAGGUGCGAAAGCGUGGGGAGCAAACAGGAUUAGAUACCCCCGUAGUCC
RNAcentral lists this ribosomal RNA (424 nucleotides) under uncultured prokaryote. RNAcentral describes it as "bacterial SSU rRNA". It matches the Rfam family "Bacterial small subunit ribosomal RNA", at positions 355 to 796 of the family's 1533-position model. The record is from RNAcentral.